Molecule: non-coding RNA, 483 nt
Filed under: Pan troglodytes (chimpanzee)
Lineage: Eukaryota; Metazoa; Chordata; Mammalia; Primates; Hominidae
Source: RNAcentral
GUGGAAUGACUGUGGCUCUGUGCCAUCUCGAAAUCUACUGGUCUCUAAGCACAAACGAACAUUCUCUUAAACUAAUGAAAUGAGUGGCAGGCAGCGUGUGCAGAGCACCAGCAAAGGCUCAGAGGGAUGCCCACAGAGUUCCACCGCAACCGUGCACAGAGGAGGAGGAGAAUGCUCCCUACAGGUGAAAACUAGGCUAAUACACAAUGAUUGAAGACUAAAGAAUGAGAAGAGCCACCAGUGGGGCGCAUUCACAGAGAAACGGUCACAUGAUGAGGCAGCAAGAAGGCAAAAAUUGCGAGCCAACAAGAGAGGCCUCAGAAGAAUCCAACCCUGGUGCCACCUUCAUUUUAAACUUCCAACAACCCCAGAACUGUGGAAAAAAAUUCUAUUGUUUGUCUGUGGUAUUUUGUUAUGGCAACCCUAGCAAACUAAUACAAUGCGCAAACUAAUACAUUAAACAGAAUAUUAAAACGAACAAAA